GAGUUUGAUCCUGGCUCAAAACGAACGCUGGCAGGGUGGAUUAGGCAUGCAAGUCGAACGGGAAGCUUUGGAUUCAAGUUUUCGGACGAGAAACUGAAGUGGAGAGUGGCGAAAGGGUGAGUAACGCGUGGGUAACCUACCUCAAAGUUUGGGACAACCAGCCGAAAGGCUGGCUAAUACCGGAUGUGGUCUCCUGGCGCAUGUCAGGAUGAUUAAAGAUGGGGAUUCUUCGGAACCUGUCUCUUUGAGAGGGGCCCGCGUACCAUCAGCUUGUUGGUAGGGUAAUGGCCUACCAAGGCUUACGGUUAGCCGGCCUGAGAGGGUGAUCGGCUACACUGGGACUGAGACACUGCCCAGACUCCUACGGGAGGCUGCAGUCGAGGAUCAUUGACAAUGCGGGAAACCGUGAUCAUGCGACGCUGCGUGGAGGAUGACGGCCUUAGGGUUGUAAACUCCUGUCAUUCGGGAAAAAUAACGCGAGGAUUAAUACCCCUUGUGAUUGAUGUUACCGGAAGAGGAAGCCACGGCUAACUCUGUGCCAGCAGCCGCGGUAAUACAGAGGUGGCGAGCGUUGUUCGGAUUUACUGGGCGUAAAGCGUGCGUAGGUGGUUUCGUAUGUCGGAUGUGAAAGCCCACAGCUCAACUGUGGAAUUGCAUCCGAAACUGCGAUGCUAGAGUGCAGGAUGGGAGAGCGGAAUUCUUGGUGUAGUGGUGAAAUGCGUUGAUAUCAAGAAGAACACCGGUGGCGAAGGCGGCUCUCUGGAAUGCUACUGACACUGAGGCACGAAAGUUGGGGUAGCAAACAGGAUUAGAUACCCUGGUAGUC
This 826-nucleotide ribosomal RNA is filed under the name uncultured bacterium. Its description in RNAcentral is "bacterial SSU rRNA". It matches the Rfam family "Bacterial small subunit ribosomal RNA", at positions 9 to 795 of the family's 1533-position model. The record is from RNAcentral.